RNAcentral lists this ribosomal RNA (428 nucleotides) under uncultured bacterium. RNAcentral describes it as "bacterial SSU rRNA". It matches the Rfam family "Bacterial small subunit ribosomal RNA", at positions 355 to 775 of the family's 1533-position model. The record is from RNAcentral.
UAGGGAAUAUUGGACAAUGGGCGAAAGCCUGAUCCAGCCAUGCCGCGUGAGUGAUGAAGGCCUUCGGGUCGUAAAGCUCUUUUCUGAGGGAAGAACAGCCGGGGGAGGAAAUGCCCCCGGCCUGACGGUACCUUAGGAAUAAGGGACGGCUAACUCCGUGCCAGCAGCCGCGGUAAUACGGAGGUCCCGAGCGUUGUUCGGAAUUACUGGGCGUAAAGCGCGUGUAGGCGGUUAGGAGAGUUGGAUGUGAAAGCUCCCGGCUUAACUGGGAGAGGUCGUUCAAAACUUCCUGACUAGAGUUUGGUAGAGGAAAAUGGAAUUCCGGGUGUAGUGGUGAAAUGCGUAGAUAUCCGGAGGAACACCAGUGGCGAAAGCGGCGUCCUGGGUCCCAACUGACGCUGAGGCACGAAAGCGUGGGGAGCAAACAG